RNAcentral lists this ribosomal RNA (506 nucleotides) under Hyphopichia buzzinii. RNAcentral describes it as "eukaryotic LSU rRNA". It matches the Rfam family "Eukaryotic large subunit ribosomal RNA", at positions 71 to 647 of the family's 3401-position model. Lineage: Eukaryota; Fungi; Ascomycota; Pichiomycetes; Serinales; Debaryomycetaceae. The record is from RNAcentral.
GGGAUUGCCUCAGUAACGGCGAGUGAAGCGGCAAAAGCUCAAAUUUGGAAUCGCGCAAGCGAGUUGUAAAUUGAAGAGCGUCUCUUGCGUCCGGGUCUUGUCGAAGUUCCUUGGAACAGGACGUCGCAGAGGGUGAGAAUCCCGUGCGAUGAGGCCUUGGGCGUGUGUAGAGGCGACUCGACGAGUCGAGUUGUUUGGGAAUGCAGCUCCAAGUGGGUGGUAAAUUCCAUCUAAAGCUAAAUACAGGCGAGAGACCGAUAGCGAACAAGUACAGUGAUGGAAAGAUGAAAAGAACUUUGAAAAGAGAGUGAAAAAGUACGUGAAAUUGUUGAAAGGGAAGGGCUUGGGAUCAGACUGCGCAAGCGGCCAGCAUGAGGUGCUGCGGCGAGACAAGACGGCAGGAAGGUGGCCCGGCUGCGGCCGGGUGUUAUAGCCUGCCGGGAUGUCGCCAGCGGCGCCUGAGGAGUGCGCAUUCGCAAGGAUGCUGGCAUAAUGAUCCCCAGCCG